Molecule: ribosomal RNA, 250 nt
Filed under: uncultured bacterium
Lineage: Bacteria
Description: partial 16S ribosomal RNA
Rfam family: Bacterial small subunit ribosomal RNA
Source: RNAcentral
UACGGAGGGUGCGAGCGUUAUCCGGAAUUACUGGGUUUAAAGGGUGCGUAGGCGGUGAUAUAAGUCAGUGGUGAAAGGCCGUAGCUUAACUAUGGGACUGCCAUUGAUACUGUAUGACUUGAAUCAGGAUGAGGUUGGCGGAAUGUGGCAUGUAGCGGUGAAAUGCUUAGAUAUGCCAUAGAACACCGAUUGCGAAGGCAGCUGACUGGACCUAGAUUGACGCUGAGGCACGAAAGCGUGGGGAGCGAAC